AUUGAACGCUGGCGGCAGGCCUAACACAUGCAAGUCGAACGAGUGGCGGACGGGUGAGUAAUGUCUGGGAAACUGCCCGAUGGAGGGGGAUAACUACUGGAAACGGUAGCUAAUACCGCAUACCAUCGGAUGUGCCCAGAUGGGAUUAGCUAGUAGGUGGGGUAACGGCUCACCUAGGCGACGAUCCCUAGCUGGUCUGAGAAGAUGACCAGCAACACUGGAACUGAGACACGAUCCAGAGUCUGACGGGAGGCAGCAGUGGGGAAUAUUGCACAAUGGGAGCAAGCCUAAUGCAGCCAGGCCGCGUUGAUGAAGAAAGCCUUCGGGUUGAAAAAUACUUUCAGCGAGAAGGCGUUACUCGCAGAAGAAGCACCGGCUAACUCCGUGCCAGCCGCCGCGGUAAUAC
RNAcentral lists this ribosomal RNA (406 nucleotides) under uncultured bacterium. RNAcentral describes it as "partial 16S ribosomal RNA". It matches the Rfam family "Bacterial small subunit ribosomal RNA", at positions 30 to 526 of the family's 1533-position model. The record is from RNAcentral.